This 253-nucleotide ribosomal RNA is filed under the name uncultured bacterium. Its description in RNAcentral is "partial 16S ribosomal RNA". It matches the Rfam family "Bacterial small subunit ribosomal RNA", at positions 524 to 776 of the family's 1533-position model. The record is from RNAcentral.
UACAGAGGGUGCAAGCGUUGUUCGGAAUUACUGGGCGUAAAGCGCGUGUAGGCGGUUUGGUGUGUCGGCUGUGAAAUCCCUCGGCUUAACCGAGGAACUGCAGCCGAAACUGCUAGACUUGAGUGUCAGAGGGGGUGGCGGAAUUCCCGGUGUAGAGGUAAAAUUCGUAGAUAUCGGGAGGAACACCUGUGGCGAAGGCGGCCACCUGGAAGACAACUGACGCUGAGACGCGAAAGCGUGGGGAGCAAACAGG